This 299-nucleotide ribosomal RNA is filed under the name Haemophilus influenzae 3655. Its description in RNAcentral is "partial 23S ribosomal RNA". It matches the Rfam family "Bacterial large subunit ribosomal RNA", at positions 2627 to 2925 of the family's 2925-position model. The record is from RNAcentral. Lineage: Bacteria; Pseudomonadati; Pseudomonadota; Gammaproteobacteria; Pasteurellales; Pasteurellaceae.
CAGUUCGGUCCCUAUCUUCCGUUGGGCGUAGAGAAUUGGUUGGGGCUGCUCCUAGUACGAGAGGCCCGGAGUGGACGCACCACUGGUGUUCCGGUUGGGUCCCCCAGACGCAUUCCCGGGUAGCUAAGUGCCGAAGAGAUAAGUGCUGAAAGCAUCUAAGCACGAAACUUGCCAAGAGAUGAGUUCUCCCAAUCUAAGAGAUAGUAAGGGUUGUUGUAGACUACGACGUAGAUAGGUCUGGUGUGUAAGUGUAGUGAUACAUUGAGCUAACAGAUACUAAUUGCCCGAGAGGCUUAACU